Molecule: ribosomal RNA, 380 nt
Filed under: uncultured bacterium
Lineage: Bacteria
Description: bacterial SSU rRNA
Rfam family: Bacterial small subunit ribosomal RNA
Source: RNAcentral
GACGAACGCUGGCGGCGUGCUUAACACAUGCAAGUCGAGCGGUAAGGCUCUUUCGGGGGUACACGAGCGGCGAACGGGUGAGUAACACGUGGGUGACCUGCCCUUAGCUCUGGGAUAAGCCUGGGAAACUGGGUCUAAUACCGGAUAUGACUCCAUGACGCAUGUUGUGGGGUGGAAAGCCUUGUGCGGCUAGGGAUGGGCCCGCGGCCUAUCAGCUUGUUGGUGGGGUGAUGGCCUACCAAGGCGACGACGGGUAGCCGGCCUGAGAGGGCGACCGGCCACACUGGGACUGAGACACGGCCCAGACUCCUACGGGAGGGCAGCAGUGGGGAAUCUUGCGCAAUGGGCGAAAGCCUGACGCAGCGACGCCGCGUGAGGGA